Molecule: ribosomal RNA, 440 nt
Filed under: uncultured bacterium
Lineage: Bacteria
Description: partial 16S ribosomal RNA
Rfam family: Bacterial small subunit ribosomal RNA
Source: RNAcentral
CCUACGGGAGGCAGCAGUGGGGAAUAUUGCACAAUGGGGGAAACCCUGAUGCAGCGACGCCGCGUGAGUGAAGAAGUAGUUCGGUACGUAAAGCUCUAUCAGCAGAGAAGAAAAUGACGGUACCUGACUAAGAAGCCCCGGCUAACUACGUGCAAGCAGCCGCGGUAAUACGUAGGGGGCCAGCGUUAUACGGAUUUACUGGGUGUAAAGGGAGCGUAGACGGCAGCGCAAGUCUGGAGUGAAACCCCAUGGCUUAACCAUGGAACUGCUUUGGAAACCGUGCAGCUAGAGGGCAGGAGAGGUAAGCGGAAUGCCUAGUGUAGCGGUGAAAUGCGUAGAUAUUAGGAGGAACACCAGUGGCGAAGGCGGCAUACUGGACUGUAACUGACGUUGAGGCUCGAAAGCGUGGGGAGCAAACAGGAUUAGAUACCCCUGUAGUC